This 239-nucleotide ribosomal RNA is filed under the name uncultured bacterium. Its description in RNAcentral is "partial 16S ribosomal RNA". It matches the Rfam family "Bacterial small subunit ribosomal RNA", at positions 95 to 334 of the family's 1533-position model. The record is from RNAcentral.
UUGGCGGACGGGUGAGUAACGCGUGGGUAACCUGCCUUGUACUGGGGGACAACAGUUGGAAACGACUGCUAAUACCGCAUAAGCGCACAGCUUCGCAUGAAGCAGUGUGAAAAACUCCGGUGGUACAAGAUGGACCCGCGUCUGAUUAGCUGGUUGGUGAGGUAACGGCCCACCAAGGCGACGAUCAGUAGCCGGCCUGAGAGGGUGAACGGCCACAUUGGGACUGAGACACGGCCCAA